This 800-nucleotide ribosomal RNA is filed under the name uncultured beta proteobacterium. Its description in RNAcentral is "bacterial SSU rRNA". It matches the Rfam family "Bacterial small subunit ribosomal RNA", at positions 46 to 858 of the family's 1533-position model. The record is from RNAcentral. Lineage: Bacteria; Pseudomonadati; Pseudomonadota; Betaproteobacteria.
GUCUAUAACAUGCAAGUCGAACGGCAGCACGGGACCAAUCCUGGUGGCGAGUGGCGAACGGGUGAGUAAUACAUCGGAACGUGCCCUGUCGUGGGGGAUAACUAGUCGAAAGAUUAGCUAAUACCGCAUACGACCUGAGGGUGAAAGCGGGGGACCGCAAGGCCUCGCGCGACAGGAGCGGCCGAUGUCUGAUUAGCUAGUUGGUGGGGUAAAGGCCUACCAAGGCGACGAUCAGUAGCUGGUCUGAGAGGACGAUCAGCCACACUGGGACUGAGACACGGCCCAGACUCCUACGGGAGGCAGCAGUGGGGAAUUUUGGACAAUGGGGGCAACCCUGAUCCAGCAAUGCCGCGUGUGUGAAGAAGGCCUUCGGGUUGUAAAGCACUUUUGUCCGGAAAGAAAUGGCUCUGGUUAAUACCCGGGGUCGAUGACGGUACCGGAAGAAUAAGCACCGGCUAACUACUGCCAGCAGCCGCGGUAAUACUAGGGUGCGAGCGUUAAUCGGAAUUACUGGGCGUAAAGCUGCGCAGGCGGUUUGUAAGACAGUUGUGAAAUCCCCGGGCUCAACCUGGGAAUUGCAUCUGUGACUGCUAGCUAGAUACGGUAGAGGGGGAUGGAAUUCCGCUGAGCAUGAAAUGCUAGAUAUGCGGAGGAACACCGUGGCGAAGGCAAUCCCCUGGACCUGUACUGAUGCUCAUGGACGAAAGCUGGGGAGCAAACAGGAUUAGAUACCCUGGUAGUCCACGCCUAAUCAUGUCAACUGUUGUUGGGUUCAUUAUACUCAGUAACGAACUACGCUG